CAUAAAUUUGGUGCUUUUCUUUGCAAGAUAUCAUUGUGGAAAUUGUUGGACGUGGAAAAAUCACCAAAUACACUAAAGAUAACAAGCAAAGCAUGCGUCUGCAUCUACGACUGAUGGAUUUAAGUGGCAUUCUUAUGAAUUGUGCUCUAUGGGGGGAUUACGCCCAUCAAGUUGAUAACUUUUUCAAAGAUCCAAAGAAUGACGGUCGUGUUGUGAUUGUUAUUCAACUUGCGAAGUUGCGCAUCUGGGAUGGUGAACCACAAUUGGGUAACUGUAUGUUUGGUACCCGUAUUUAGAUGAACUCUGACAUGCCUGAAACUAAACACUUCAU
Erigeron canadensis is the source of this 331-nucleotide long non-coding RNA. RefSeq lists it as uncharacterized. The record is from RefSeq and is a predicted model, not a curated record. The transcript is spliced from 3 exons. NCBI's taxonomy places the organism in Eukaryota, Viridiplantae, Streptophyta, Magnoliopsida, Asterales, Asteraceae.